Molecule: long non-coding RNA, 647 nt
Filed under: Canis lupus familiaris (dog)
Lineage: Eukaryota; Metazoa; Chordata; Mammalia; Carnivora; Canidae
Description: lncRNA (ENSCAFG00000044950.2)
Source: RNAcentral
UGAUGUGUUUACGUUUUACAUGUUGAUUUGAUAAGCUUUUAACUUUGACCCUCUAUACAGAAUAUAUAUGUCUCAUUUCAUUUAUUCAAAAUUGAUUUAUUAGAUAUCUAAAAUCUAGGCACUGUGGAAGACCUCGGGAAAAAUUUGAAGAUGUUUCUGUGCUAUUGGAUUUUGCCAGACUUCUUGGAAUCCCUGGGUGGCGCAGCGGUUUAGCGCCUGCCUUUGGCCCGGGGCGUGAUCCUGGAGACCCGGGAUCGAAUCCCGCGUCGGGCUCCUGGUGCAUGGAGCCUGCUUCUCCCUCUGCCUGUGUCUCUGCUUCUCUCUCUCUCUCUGUGUGACUAUCAUAAAUAAAUAAAAAUUUAAAAAAAGAACAUUUAAAAAAAAGGAAAUAUAUUAAAUUAAAUGAGACUAAUAUAUAGUACUGACUUACGUGGUCCAUAAAAAUGAAAUUUCAUUCUUAAGUUGUUUUUUUUCAAUGCAGCAAUGUCUGAUUUUGCCUGAUGCAAUAAGUAUUGCCACUGAUUCAUAUUAGCAUUUUGCUAUAGUUCAUUGCCAAAAUGUAGUCACUUGGCCCUAACUAGCUGCGAGGAAGGAAGAAUGUCCUUACUUUUUUCCUAAAUCACAAUGUAUCCAAUGAACAUUAAGAU